RNAcentral lists this ribosomal RNA (233 nucleotides) under uncultured bacterium. RNAcentral describes it as "partial 16S ribosomal RNA". It matches the Rfam family "Bacterial small subunit ribosomal RNA", at positions 118 to 351 of the family's 1533-position model. The record is from RNAcentral.
UGAGUAACCUGCCCUUAACUCUGGGAUAAGCCUGGAAACUGGGUCUAAUACCGGAUAUGACUCCUCAUCGCAUGGUGGGGGGUGGAAAGCUUUAUUGUGGUUUUGGAUGGACUCGCGGCCUAUCAGCUUGUUGGUGAGGUAAUGGCUCACCAAGGCGAUGACGGGUAGCCGGCCUGAGAGGGCGACCGGCCACACUGGGACUGAGACACGGCCCAGACUCCUACGGGAGGCAG